This 473-nucleotide ribosomal RNA is filed under the name uncultured bacterium. RNAcentral's name for it is "bacterial SSU rRNA". It matches the Rfam family "Bacterial small subunit ribosomal RNA", at positions 328 to 793 of the family's 1533-position model. The record is from RNAcentral.
CUCUGUGACUCCUACGGGAGGCAGCAGUGGGGAAUAUUGCACAAUGGGGGAAACCCUGAUGCAGCCAUGCCGCGUGUGUGAAGAAGGCCUUCGGGUUGUAAAGCACUUUCAGUAGGGAGGAAGGUAGUGUAGUUAACACCUGCACUAUUUGACGUUACCUACAGAAGAAGCACCGGCUAACUCCGUGCCAGCAGCCGCGGUAAUACGGAGGGUGCGAGCGUUAAUCGGAAUUACUGGGCGUAAAGCGCAUGCAGGCGGCCUGUUAAGUCAGAUGUGAAAGCCCGGGGCUUAACCUCGGAAUUGCAUUUGAAACUGGCAGGCUAGAGUCUUGUAGAGGGGGUAGAAUUUCAGGUGUAGCGGUGAAAUGCGUAGAGAUCUGAAGGAAUACCAGUGGCGAAGGCGGCCCCCCUGGACAAAGACUGACGCUCAGAUGCGAAAGCGUGGGGAGCAAACAGGAUUAGAUACCCUGGUAG